This 370-nucleotide long non-coding RNA is filed under the name Ictidomys tridecemlineatus (thirteen-lined ground squirrel). Its description in RNAcentral is "lncRNA (ENSSTOG00000030394.1)". The record is from RNAcentral. Lineage: Eukaryota; Metazoa; Chordata; Mammalia; Rodentia; Sciuridae.
AUUUAAAUUUUGGUUAUGUACUUAUAUUAAAACUCAUUUAGUUUUCAGGAUUAUUCUCAUCCCCAAUAUACCAAAAGAUGGAAGUGACCAAUGGCAUGAUUCCCAGGAGGGUGAACGGGAACACUGAAAUCAUGGAUAUGUCACAUGUGUGGCUGAGAAACACUGAAAUUUCUUAUACCAGAUCAGAGCACCAUUGAGGCUGCAGUGAAGAUAGCAAUAAUGGGUUUCUUUCAGAGGAUCUGUGAUGGGACUGCUGCAGCUGCAACAGGUUCCCUAGAAAUUCUGUAAGACGAAGCAAGAGGUGAUCAGGUGACCCAUCUUCUGGCUCUGUUCUACAGUAACUGUGUUUCCUCCAGUAAGAGUGUCUUAG